GGUAACACUGAAUGGAGGACCGAACCGACUUACGUUGAAAAGUGAGCGGAUGAACUGAGGGUAGCGGAGAAAUUCCAAUCGAACCUGGAGAUAGCUGGUUCUCUCCGAAAUAGCUUUAGGGCUAGCCUCAAGUGAUGAUUAUUGGAGGUAGAGCACUGUUUGGACGAGGGGCCCCUCUCGGGUUACCGAAUUCAGACAAACUCCGAAUGCCAAUUAAUUUAACUUGGGAGUCAGAACAUGGGUGAUAAGGUCCGUGUUCGAAAGGGAAACAGCCCAGACCACCAGCUAAGGUCCCAAAAUAUAUGUUAAGUGGAAAAGGAUGUGGCGUUGCCCAGACAA
Molecule: ribosomal RNA, 339 nt
Filed under: Staphylococcus aureus
Lineage: Bacteria; Bacillati; Bacillota; Bacilli; Caryophanales; Staphylococcaceae
Description: partial 23S ribosomal RNA
Rfam family: Bacterial large subunit ribosomal RNA
Source: RNAcentral